GCCGGAUGAUCGGGCGGAAGAUGCGGCCCGGGCAGGAUGGGGGCUAAGAGGGGUGUUAUGAAUUGUGCAAAGUCCCUGGAAACCAAAGAACGAGCGGCCGGAGAAAGGGGCGCCGCUUUAGCAGGGCGGCGGGGACAGGCCGCCUCCAGCAGGCGGAGUCUCCGUCGCCCAGGCUGGAGCACAGCACUUUCAGAGGCCGAGGAAGGCGGAUCACCUGAGGUUGGGAAUUGGAGACCAGCCUGGCCAACAUGGUGAAAUCCUGUCUCGACUAAAAAUACAAAAAUUAACCAGGCGUGGUGGCGUGCUUCUGUAAUCCCAGCUACUCGGGAGGCUGAGGCAGGAGAAUUGCUUUAACCUGGGAGGUGGAGGCUGCAGUGAGCCGAGAUCGUGCCACUCAACUCCAACCUGGGCGACAGAGCGAGACUCUGUCUCAAAAAAUAAAAAGAAUUCUGAAUGCUGACAACCGAGACUACAAUGAACCCUGCCUACACAUGCCUUCCCUCCCUCUCCUUGAGCUGGACCUGGGGUGGGCCUUCGAAGCUGGGUCCCGUACAAGCUUCUGCUGUUCACGCUGAAGUGAACCUGGCCAGUGCUGCCCAGAGACCUCCGGCGGCCACCUAGCAGCCAGACUGUAGCAGGAUGAGCCACAGACAAAACUCCUGACACUGGAUUAAAGAAGAGGUUUUUAUUCGGCCGGCAGCAUCAGCAGACUCGCGUCUUAAGCUCCCCGAAAAAGAGAUUCUUGGCCUUUUUAAAGGCUUACAACUUUAAGGGGUCCACGUGAAAGGGUCGUGAUACAUCAAGCAAGUGUGGAAAACGUGAGUGGGGGCUGCAUGCAUCAGCUAACACAACAGAAAGUUUUACAAUGCUUUUUCGUAGUGUCUGGAAUUUACAGAUAACACAAGUAGUUUAGGUCAGUGGUUGAUGUUAUUAUUACUUUUUUUUUAACUCCUAGGGCCGGGUGGUGGUGCCAAGGUUGUCUGUUUAUCUUACUUUUGCAUUUUUUUUCCAACUUUUUGCAUUUUCUCUCCUCCUGUCUUGUGAACUAGGCAAGGUGGUGGGAGGAAGGCAGCAGGAGUAGUAGUGGUCUCCUUCCUUAAGACCACACUCCAAACUUUGGACCGUUGGUUUCAAGCCCGGUGGGUUCAGGUCAACCCACAGGCGAAUUUUCAAACAUUCUACACAUCUCAGGGGCUGCCAGCCAAGACUUGCCCCCACUUCUGACUACCCAGCCAGGUCCAGGCCCUCAGUGGCCUCCCCGGUCUCCUUACUUCCUGGCAGGGUUGGCCAGGGCGCCCGGUGCAGUGGAGGGCUUGAGGCACGACCACGUGCAGCACCGUCCCACUGGCUACGGGCCCCUCUGGACACCAGCCAGGCAGGUCCAGUCCCACCGACUCAUGCUGCCUGGGGGUCUCCCGGCUGUACUGGAGCCAAGCUUAUAACCCUGGGCCAUCCUUCCUCUGUCCAACCCACCUUUUCCCAAACAGAGAGAAAAACACGGACCCACACUUUCUCUGUAAUGUAACUUAAUUCCAAAUCGAGAGGUAAGAACACGAGCAAAUCAUGGUUUUUUUUUUUUUUUUUUUUUGAGGCAGAGUCUAGCUCUUGUUGCCCGGGCUAGAGUGCGAUUUCCGCCUCCUGGGUUCAAGUGACUCUCCUGCUUCAGCCUCUCAAGUAGCUGAGAUUAUAGCCGCAUGCCACCAUGCCCAGUUAGGCUAAUUUUUUUGUAUUUUCAGUAGAGACAAGGUUUUACCACGUUGGUCAGGCUGGUCUCGAACUCCUGACCUCAGGUGAUCCACCCAUCUCGGCCUCCCAAAGUGCUAGGAUCACAGACGUGAACCACCGCGCCUGGCUGCAAAUCAUGUUUAAAUUUGAAGAUAUAGCCAGCUGCAGUGUCUCAUGCCUGUGAUCCCAGCACUUUGGGAAGCAGUGGGAAGAUCACCUGAGCCCAUGAGAUUUAGGCUGCAGUGAGCCAUGAUCACACCACUGCACUCCGGCUGGGCAACAAAUUUAAAAAAAAAAGUGGAGAAACAUUAUAGAAGAGGGCCCACAGGAGGCUGUUGUGGGCCAUUUGAGGGUGAAGGUGGGGCUCCUCACAUCUCCCCUGCCCCCAUCUGCCUGGCUGAGCUCUCACCCUCCUGUCCACUGCCCAAGGGGAGGCCCACCCCACAUCCCUGGGCCACUCUGCUGGGUGCUUAGUGAGCAAAGUUACCACCUUCUGGGCUGAGGUGACUCCAGCAUUGAACGGGGUUAGUUCUCACCAUGUUCUCCAACCCACGUACGGCCAUCAGAGAGCCCAUGGAGGGCUGGACGGUGCCCCCCACCCACAGGCACAGCCACUUUGUCCUGUUCUU
RNAcentral lists this long non-coding RNA (2354 nucleotides) under Homo sapiens (human). Its description in RNAcentral is "HSALNT0395580". Lineage: Eukaryota; Metazoa; Chordata; Mammalia; Primates; Hominidae. The record is from RNAcentral.